GAUGAACGCUGGCGGCGUGCUUAACACAUGCAAGUCGAACGAUGAACCGGGUGCUUGCACUCGGGGAUUAGUGGCGAACGGGUGAGUAACACGUGAGCAACCUGCCCCUGACUCUGGGAUAAGCGCUGGAAACGGCGUCUAAUACUGGAUAUGUCCCGUCACCGCAUGGUGUGCGGGUGGAAAGAUUUUUCGGUUGGGGAUGGGCUCGCGGCCUAUCAGCUUGUUGGUGAGGGAAUGGCUCACCAAGGCGUCGACGGGUAGCCGGCCUGAGAGGGUGACCGGCCACACUGGGAAUGAUACACGGCCCAGACUCCUACGGGAGGCAGCAGUGGGGAAUAUUGCACAAUGGGCGGAAGCCUGAUGCAGCAACGCCGCGUGAGGGAUGACGGCCUUCGGGUUGUAAACCUCUUUUAGCAGGGAAGAAGCGAGAGUGACGGUACCUGCAGAAAAAGCACCGGCUAACUACGUGCCAGCCGCCGCAGUAA
Molecule: ribosomal RNA, 485 nt
Filed under: uncultured bacterium
Lineage: Bacteria
Description: partial 16S ribosomal RNA
Rfam family: Bacterial small subunit ribosomal RNA
Source: RNAcentral